RNAcentral lists this unclassified non-coding RNA (861 nucleotides) under Hevea brasiliensis (rubber tree). Lineage: Eukaryota; Viridiplantae; Streptophyta; Magnoliopsida; Malpighiales; Euphorbiaceae. The record is from RNAcentral.
AAAAAAAAAAAAAAAACCAUGAAUAAAGUCCUGCAGCAAACCUAACAAAUUUGCAUGCUAAUGGCAAAUCUAUGAAAACAUUGUGAGCACAAAGCAUUAUGCUAAAAAUAAUGCCAAAAGCCACUGGUUCUAAUGUUUUAGUAUAGAUAUGGCCCUGACAGACUAUAAUAAUAAAUAUGUUAAAGUUCCAAUGAAUAAGCAAAGAUACAUAAUAUACUAGAUGGUUUGAUAUGGGUUUAUUAGCAAAGAAAAAAAAACUUGGUAGCAUUGCAUCAGCAAUCGCCAACCUCAUUUGAUAGAAAUUAAUUUUUUUUCUCAAACCAAGCAUUGUUUACUUUUCCUUGCACAACAAUUUCUUAUUGUCAACUAUGAAAAACUUUGAUGGCUAUAAAUAUGUUUCACUUUCCUAAAAAUACAAUUCAAGCCAUAUAUAGUUUCAUAUGUUCAAAGAUUUUACAAACCAACGAAAUGGUAAAAUCAUAAUAUCAAAUUUUCACAAACUUGUUAGCAACUGUAUAAGCACAACAUUGCCCACAUACUAACACAAUGUAUCAUAACCAAUCACUUUUACUUUAUGGAAUAUCAAUAAAAUUAAAAUGGGUAAAAGGACAUGAAGUUUACAUACUUUUAGAAAGAAGAACAAAAAAUAGAUUUCGACGACACAACAUGCAUGAUAAGUAAUGUCAUAUAACCAAGACCAGUGCGCAUCACAAGGAGAGGAGAAAAUGAAGAACUGACCAUGGGACAGUAAUUUCAUAAGGAAAAUAGAUUGCAUUCUUAGAUAUGAGGGAAGCUUCUGUUGGAAUUCCGAGUCCAAAUAGAGUUAGGAUUUGAAGUUAAAUCUAGUUGGGAAGAUUUUAG